GGGCCCGUAGCUCAGCUUGGAUAGAGCACUCGCCUCCUAAGCGAGGGGUCGGGGGUUCGAAUCCCCCCGGGUCCG
RNAcentral lists this transfer RNA (75 nucleotides) under Candidatus Aenigmatarchaeota archaeon. Its description in RNAcentral is "tRNA-Arg". It matches the Rfam family "tRNA". From Rfam's summary of the family: Transfer RNA (tRNA) molecules are approximately 80 nucleotides in length. Their secondary structure includes four short double-helical elements and three loops (D, anti-codon, and T loops). Lineage: Archaea; Nanobdellati; Candidatus Aenigmatarchaeota. The record is from RNAcentral. RNAcentral also lists the same sequence under 1 other name.